GCACCAGCACAUGAGCAAAACCCUAAGUUUGCUCCAAAUCCUAACUCCAAAAUUCCAAUUUACUCAAACAUCAUGCUAUCAAAUAUUCUAAUCAUCAAUUUCAUGUUCAAUUGCAUCAAUUCACAACUAUAAUUCACUUGAAUCAUUGAAACUCUAAAGUACCCUAGGCUGCCAAAAUUGAGGGUUUUCAUACCUACAUAAUUUGUUUUCUUUCUUCCAAAACUAACACUCAAUUCAUAAUCUACACAAGGUAAACUCAUGGAUUCAUGGAAGAAGUAUCACUAACCUUGACUUAGCCAAUUCCCAAGGCUUGAAAACUCCACUUUUUCUCUUCCUUUUUGCUAUCCAAGUCUUGCUCUAGGUGUGAGGAGAAGUUUUUGUGAAGGGAAGCUAGGGUUUUGAGGUGGUUUAGUGGAUGAACUCAAGCUUGUUACCAAGCAUCAAUGGAGGUUUUUCUCUUCUUUCUCUUUCUCUCUUCUCUUAGUUCGGCUGGUUGAAGACAAAGUGCAAAUUUCUUUUCAUUUUUUUCCCAUUUUAUCUCUUUUUAAUUGGCUUGUUGAGUUGUGAUUGGUGGAGCUUUUUAAAUGACAUCAUACUAUGUCAUAAUUCUCUUUUUAAUUCAUUUUCUUUUUUUUCCUACUCAAUUUCAAUUUAAUUUUUAGUAAUAUUUAUUCAUAUUUUAUGUCA
This 687-nucleotide unclassified non-coding RNA is filed under the name Hevea brasiliensis (rubber tree). Lineage: Eukaryota; Viridiplantae; Streptophyta; Magnoliopsida; Malpighiales; Euphorbiaceae. The record is from RNAcentral.